Molecule: small nuclear RNA, 18 nt
Filed under: Arabidopsis thaliana (thale cress)
Lineage: Eukaryota; Viridiplantae; Streptophyta; Magnoliopsida; Brassicales; Brassicaceae
Description: snRNA_11614
Source: RNAcentral
AAAACAAAGCAUUGCGAU